GCAGUCGAGCGGANNGAGUUAUCUGAACCUUCGGGGAACGAUAACGGCGUCGAGCGGCGGACGGGUGAGUAAUGCCUAGGAAAUUGCCUUGAUGUGGGGGAUAACCAUUGGAAACGAUGGCUAAUACCGCAUAAUGCCUACGGGCCAAAGAGGGGGACCUUCGGGCCUCUCGCGUCAAGAUAUGCCUAGGUGGGAUUAGCUAGUUGGUGAGGUAAUGGCUCACCAAGGCGACGAUCCCUAGCUGGUCUGAGAGGAUGAUCAGCCACACUGGAACUGAGACACGGUCCAGACUCCUACGGGAGGCAGCAGUGGGGAAUAUUGCACAAUGGGCGAAAGCCUGAUGCAGCCAUGCCGCGUGUAUGAAGAAGGCCUUCGGGUUGUAAAGUACUUUCAGUUGUGAGGAAGGGGGUGUCGUUAAUAGCGGCAUCUCUUGACGUUAGCAACAGAAGAAGCACCGGCUAACUCCGUGCCAGCAGCCGCGGUAAUACGGAGGGUGCGAGCGUUAAUCGGAAUUACUGGGCGUAAAGCGCAUGCAGGUGGUUCAUUAAGUCAGAUGUGAAAGCCCGGGGCUCAACCUCGGAACUGCAUUUGAAACUGNUGAACUAGAGUACUGUAGAGGGGGGUAGAAUUUCAGGUGUAGCGGUGAAAUGCGUANAGAUCUGAAGGAAUACCAGUGGCGAAGGCGGCCCCCUNNACAGAUACUGACACUCAGAUGCGAAAGCGUGGGGAGCAAACAGGAUUAGAUACC
RNAcentral lists this ribosomal RNA (748 nucleotides) under Vibrio sp. MR08-66. RNAcentral's name for it is "bacterial SSU rRNA". It matches the Rfam family "Bacterial small subunit ribosomal RNA", at positions 57 to 786 of the family's 1533-position model. Lineage: Bacteria; Pseudomonadati; Pseudomonadota; Gammaproteobacteria; Vibrionales; Vibrionaceae. The record is from RNAcentral.